Molecule: transfer RNA, 75 nt
Filed under: Cerataphis brasiliensis yeast-like symbiont
Lineage: Eukaryota; Fungi; Ascomycota
Description: tRNA-Und (NNN) (tRNA-Und-NNN-9-1)
Rfam family: tRNA
About the family: Transfer RNA (tRNA) molecules are approximately 80 nucleotides in length. Their secondary structure includes four short double-helical elements and three loops (D, anti-codon, and T loops).
Source: RNAcentral
GGGGGGAUGGUGUAGUGGUAAAACACUAAUAGGUGCGACUAAUAGAGUCGGCAGGUUCGAAUCCUGCUCCUCCCA